Molecule: long non-coding RNA, 4223 nt
Filed under: Bos grunniens (domestic yak)
Lineage: Eukaryota; Metazoa; Chordata; Mammalia; Artiodactyla; Bovidae
Description: lncRNA (ENSBGRG00000009649.1)
Source: RNAcentral
UAAAAUUGCCUCAAGGCAUUUUGGGGAGUGGGCUAGAAGGUGCCAUUCCUCCAACCUCAAACUCACCAGGAAGCAGGUACACUUAAAGAGUGGAGGCCAGAGAGGGAUUCCAUAAGAGCUCCUCCUUCACUUCCGUACAGCUCUGCUGAGCAAAUUAACUUGAGUUUUAUUUAUUUUCUGGUUUUAUUGCAUAAAUAUUUAUUUUUUUAAAUAUAAAGUAAUUUUACCAAAUAAUGAAAACAUAAGGAAAUUGAGGUUAGAGGGAGGUGCUUCAAGAGAGGUUAUAGGGUGGAAGAUUUGAUACCGAAGAGGUUAAGGUGCAAUAAGAAGGGAAGGAUUUAGGGAGAAAGGUCAUGCAUGAUUGGAGGAUGCAUGAUGUGGUGUAUGAGGUUUGCACGUUGCCUCUUAACAAUUUCUAUCCUUAAGAUAAAAACUCUCAACUUUCUCAGAAAAGUCAUGUGCCUGUAUAAAGAAGCUAUUGGUUUCCUUUGGAACUUUUUUCUUCAUUUAAGAUUAUAUGUAGUAUUACUUGAAAUGUAGGAUUAUUGCUAAGGUGGGCAUUUUAGUUAAUAGGGGUCUAUGGGUUCUAAUUUUGGAUGGAGUCCAGAGAAGGGACGGUUAUUUCUACAAAUCCUCUCUCCCCUCACUGGACCAAGCAGCUUCUUUCUCUGUAGUAAACUCACUUUUUAAAAAUAUUCCUAUCACCCAUCUGGUGGGAGAGCCUCCCAAGUGAGCAACCAAAAAUCUUGGUUCUUGGUAGAGGUUCAUUAUUUCUUCAGUUUGUUGUUUAGAGGAUUUUAGAUGUUGAUUUUUAUUUUGCUUUAAGCCAUAGCUUUAAAAGAACUUAGAGAUGUUUAUAGCUAACUUGGAAUUUAUAACCUCAGUGCUGGAAAACGAUUUUCUUCCUGAACGAUUAUUAUCCAGUUGACGUGUGUUAUUACAUGAGGGUCAUCUCAUGCUUGUUUAUGUCUGUUUACCAUGUCAAGUUACCCUUGUUACCACGUUACCAUAGUGUUACGUCAGGUGCCCCCCUGAGGGACUUGAACUUUCCUGUGCACCGUCACGAAGCAGUUGCUGGUUAUCUUGUUGGGUUCCUAAGGCCCCUGUUGGGUAUAAUGUGUUCAGACUUGUGUAUAUGUAAACAACACUGCCUCUGCUGGGUGGAAUCUGCAUCAAUGGUUUUCUUUGAAACUUUAGAGUUCCAUCUCAUCAGGCUGCCUUUCCUUGUUGGAGAAGACAGAGAGAACUCCCUAAAUGUUGAGACUGAGAGUGGAGGACUCACUCUCCACUCAGACAGCAGGGAAAGACAGGAAAGAGUGUGAGACCAGGACAUGAUGCCUCUUUGGUGCUUACAUAUUUCAAGCCCUUCAGUCAAACCCUUGCCUAUGACAGUAUUUUGGUUCUAAUUUCUCACCAUUCAUUCCCUCUGGUUGCUGAGGCUUUGGGUACAAAACUCGCAGAGCCUUGGGACAGGGCUUUGCCGUGACGGGGGACUGUCCUCCAACUGCACCUCUGCUCCGACUCAGACCAGUGGGUUGGCAGUGGUGCAGCAUGGAAUUUUUUCCAGUUCUCAGUGACCAGGUUGUGAAUAAUUUCCAAAUGGAUUUUUUCUAUUAUUGUUACUACGGUUCUUUGUUUUGAAAUAAAAUUCUGAAUGUACAUAUAUAACAUCACAGGCUUGGUUUUUUGUGUGUGUGGGGGCGGGGGGGACCUUCCUCUGUAACAAGUCAGCUUUAAAUACCUUGUGGCUGCUCAGUACUUGUUGUAACCUAAAUAAGUUUCUUAUAUGAGAGUUUUGUACAAAUGAAAAUAGCCAUACUCAUUUAUUAUGCGCAGAUGAAAUGGAAAAGCCUUAGUGCAUUGCCUUGCAUACUUAAUAAAUUAUGUUGCUUGCGUUCACCAGUGAGAAUUCUUCUGAUUUUUCUCUUUUCUAUUUCCUUUCUCCUCCAAUCUUUGAUCUCUGAAAUUUAUCCUACAUUAAUGUCAGGGUAUUCAUAUAUAUACAUAUGUAAUAUAUGUGUAUUAUAUGUUUUCCCAAUGGCUCAGCAGUAAAGAACCUGUAGUACAGGAAAUGUGAGAGAUGCAGUUUCAGUUCCUGGGAGGGGAAGAUAUUCCCUGGAGUAGGAAACAGCAACCUACUCAAGUAUUUGCCUGGAGAAUCCCAUGGACAGAGGAUCCUGGUAGGCUACAGUCCAUGGAAUUGCAGAGUUGGACACAAUUGAGCAAGCACAUUGUAUAUGUAUCACAUACAUACAUUUAUAUCACAUCUAUAUGUAUACACAUGGAACACAUCCACGUUUAUAUCCCUGUACUGCUGAAAAAUUCAAUAACUUCCAAUCAGUUUCUACCCUGGCUUAACACAACCCCCCCAGGGGCAGGGUCCCUGCUACCUCUCCGUCUGAUUCACUGUUGUUGUUUUUUUAAUUUUUAUUUUACAUUCAGCUACAGCUGAUUUUGUGAAGAUAAGUGAAGGACAAGAAAGCAUGGCAUGCUGCAGUCCAGGGAGUCACAAAGAGUUGGACGUGACUUAGGGACUAAACAAAAAUAGCUAAUUUACAUGUUAGUUUCAAGUGUGAAAGUGAAAGAAAGUGAAAGUGAAGUCGCUCAGUCGUGUUCGACUCUUUGCAACCCCAUGGACUAGCCUAUCAGGCUCCUCUGUCCAUGGGAUUUUCCAGGCAAGAGUGCUGGAGUGGAUUGCCAUUUCCUUCUCCAGGGGAUCUUCCCAACCCAGGAAUCAAACCCAGGUCUCCCGCAUUGCAGGCAGACGCUUUACCAUCUGAGCCACCAGGGAAGCAAAGUGAUUCAGUUACACAUAUAUCCAUUCUUUUUUUCAGAUUCUUUUCCCAUAUAGGUUACUACUGAAUAUUGAGUACAGUUCCAUGUGUUAUACAGUAGAUCCGUAUUAUUUUAUAUAUGGUAGUGUGUGUGUGUUAACCCCAAACUCCUAAUUUAUCCCUCCCUCCCCAUGUUGUUUACCCUUUGGUUAACCAUAGAUUUGUUUUUGAAGUCUGUGAAUCUGUUUCUGUUUUGUAAAUAAGCUCAUUUGUAUCUUUUUUUUUUUUUUUGAGGUCACAUAUAUAAGUGACAUUUGUCUUCCUCUGUCUGAUUUCACUUAGUAUAAUCAUCUCUAGGUUCAUCCUAAUUCAAUACUUCUUAAUUUACGUAAGGAAACACCUCAUACCCACGAUGGGCGCUCAACAUUUUGAUGCUUUUCCUUCAUGUAGUUAUGAAACUCCCUUGCCCAGUUUCCAUUCAUUUACUACAGAUAAUCUCAAAGGCUACUCUCUUAUUUCUACGAGGCCCAAGUAGGAGUGCCAUAAAGCCUUCCUUGCUCCCAACAUAACCUUACACUGUGGUUCUUUGUGUGUUAGGGGUGGAAUGAAAGGAUGGAAUACCUGGCUGUCAGCAAGUGCAUCAUAUUAUCCAAAACUGGUUGCUUUAGCUCCUUUUUUCCACCUUUGCUUCCUUAUAAUUCAUUCUCCACAUGACUAGAGUGUUCUUUUAAAAUCAGAUCAUGUUGGGACUUCACUGGUGGUCCAGCGGUUAGGCAUUCACACUUCCACUGGAGGUGUGGGCACGGGUUUGAUCCCAGCUUGGGGAACGAAGAUUCCAUAUGCUGCGUGGUGUGGCCAAAAGAUAAUUUAAAAAAAAUCAGAACAUGUCAGUUCCUUCUGCAAAACCUUCCAAUUCCACUUAAAGCAGUCACGCUUAAAAUAGUAUUCAGGCUCUUCAGGGGACGGUAUCUAGAGGAUUUCAGAAUGGCCCAGGGUUCAACCUACAUAGUUGGCUGUCCUACAACACAACCUCCAACAAAACUAGGCUGUCUGGGACUCCGGGUGAUAGAAUUACAAAAAGGUUGGGGAAGCAUCAAAGCCUACAGAUGGUAGGGGGCUCAUGCUGUGAGAUCUGAAGAUCUAAUAUGGUGGUCUGAAAUGAAAAAUCAUGUCAACAGGACCUAUGGUGGGUCCAUGGGAGCCAAAUGUGUCCUCAACAGGAUCAAGCAGGAUUUCCUUCUUGAGCAGAAAAUCAUGAAAGUGUUGAAAGCAAAAGCAAAAGCACAACACUUAAGAGUCAGAAAGCUAAAUUUAAAAAGAUUUCUAGGGACUUUCCUGGUUGUCCGGUGGUUGACUUGGAGCUUUCAAUGUUCUUGGAUUCAAUCCCUGGUUGAGGAACUAAGAUCCCCACAUACCAUACACCCAAAAAAUAAAAACGGAGGUUUUUGG